RNAcentral lists this ribosomal RNA (206 nucleotides) under uncultured bacterium. Its description in RNAcentral is "partial 16S ribosomal RNA". It matches the Rfam family "Bacterial small subunit ribosomal RNA", at positions 568 to 774 of the family's 1533-position model. The record is from RNAcentral.
UGCGUAGGCGGUCUUUUAAGUCAGGAGUGAAAGGCUACGGCUCAACCGUAGUAAGCUCUUGAAACUGGAGGACUUGAGUGCAGGAGAGGAGAGUGGAAUUCCUAGUGUAGCGGUGAAAUGCGUAGAUAUUAGGAGGAACACCAGUGGCGAAGGCGGCUUACUGGACGGUAACUGACGUUGAGGCUCGAAAGCGUGGGGAGCAAACA